AGGGUAAUAGCUCAGUGGUAGAGUGUAUGCUUAGCUCGCACGAGGUCCUGGGUUCAAUCCCCAGUGCCUCCA
This 72-nucleotide transfer RNA is filed under the name Camelus bactrianus (Bactrian camel). It matches the Rfam family "tRNA". Rfam says of the family: Transfer RNA (tRNA) molecules are approximately 80 nucleotides in length. Their secondary structure includes four short double-helical elements and three loops (D, anti-codon, and T loops). Lineage: Eukaryota; Metazoa; Chordata; Mammalia; Artiodactyla; Camelidae. RNAcentral also lists the same sequence under 2 other names. The record is from Rfam by way of RNAcentral.